This 559-nucleotide ribosomal RNA is filed under the name Ellismarsporium parvum. RNAcentral describes it as "partial large subunit ribosomal RNA". It matches the Rfam family "Eukaryotic large subunit ribosomal RNA", at positions 375 to 967 of the family's 3401-position model. The record is from RNAcentral. Lineage: Eukaryota; Fungi; Ascomycota; Dothideomycetes.
UUUGAAAAGAGAGUUAAAAAGCACGUGAAAUUGUUGAAAGGGAAGCGCUUGCAACCAGAGCGGUUUGGAGGGGUUCAGCCUUUGGCGCACUCCCCUCCAGUCAGGCUAGCAUCAGUUCGGCCGGUCGGAUAAAGGUCGUGGGAAUGUGGCACCCUCGGGUGUGUUAUAGCCCAUGGCACAAUACGGCCUGGCUGGACUGAGGUCCACGCUUCGGCAAGGAUGCUGGCGUAAUGGUUGUCAGCGGCCCGUCUUGAAACACGGACCAAGGAGUCUAACAUCUGUGCGAGUGUUCGGGUGUCAAACCCGUGAGCGUAAUGAAAGUGAACGGAGGUGGGAGCCCUCGGGUGCACCAUCGACCGAUCCUGAUGUCUUCGGAUGGAUUUGAGUAUGAGCAUAGCUGUUGGGACCCGAAAGAUGGUGAACUAUGCGCGGAUAGGGUGAAGCCAGAGGAAACUCUGGUGGAGGCUCGCAGCGGUUCUGACGUGCAAAUCGAUCGUCAAAUCUACGCAUAGGGGCGAAAGACUAAUCGAACCAUCUAGUAGCUGGUUCCUGCCGAAGU